Small nucleolar RNA from Tachyglossus aculeatus (Australian echidna), 138 nucleotides. The record is from RefSeq and is a predicted model, not a curated record. Lineage: Eukaryota; Metazoa; Chordata; Mammalia; Monotremata; Tachyglossidae.
CCUCUCUCAGGGUCACACCUGGAGAGUUCCCAGUACUCUACCAGUCUCGACUACAGGAGGGAGAGUCAGGCAGAGACAUAUCCACUCCAUUCCUAGCUUGGCUAAGGGCUAGUCAGUGGAAGGCAAUCCGCUACAAAA